AACCAAUACGGGAUUCCCUUAGUAGGGGCGACCGAACAGGGAUGAGCCCAGCGCAGAACCUCCCAGGCCACCCGGCCUGCGGCGGAAUGUUGCGUAAAGGGAAAGGUCGUAGUCAAACCCCACAGCCACGCGAACUCUAAGUCAGCCACGAAUAGGCUAUCCCAACUAACGGCGGGAAAGACUCCACGGAGGGUGUAAGACCCGUGUGGGCGCGUGUCAAAGCUGUGCGGGUUCGGCCUCUUUUCCCUGAGAGUCGCGUUGCUUGAGCAUGCAGCGCUAAGAAGGUCGUAAACUCGAUCUAAGGCUAAAUAUCUCCACAGAACCGAUAGCGAACAAGUACCGUGAGGGAAAGUUGAAAAGCACUCUGGAGAGAGAGUCAAAAGACCGUGAAACCGCUCAGAGUAUAAGCCUAUGGCUACUUGGAAGGCAUAUCGCUAGCGGGGCAUCGCAGUUGCCAGCAAUGGUGAACGGGUGUUACCUUGUCUCUGUUGUGGCUCGUCAGGUAGGGGGGUCGAGUCCACAUCCCGCCGACGUGCGGAGAGUUCUCCGGCGCGUUGGCUUGGCGUGAGACCCUCGUGGUCGAUCGUCGGGUUCUUCACGUUGGGUUCACUUUUAUGCACGGACGUUCAGACUCAGUGACAAGAUGCGAUAAACAGCCCACCACGGCACGUUGUGAGGUCACCCGCAGGCUCGACUUUCGAUCGUGGCUCUUGACGCCGAGCAAGCAUAUGCGUGUCGCUUGUGUUCCUAACCAGCGUGCUCGUUGGACAGUGGAACGACACGCGCUCAACAGUCAGAGUCGGGCGAUGACCGAGUUCUGGUAUGAUCCUCUUGCGACGAGCCGGCUUCUGGCCGAGCUUCCGGUGUUCAGGGCUCCCGCAUGUGCCGCGGGAGACCGCCUCUCUGACGGACUGGUUCUUGUAAAAGUCCUCUCAGUCGAGCGCCGGAACGAGUGGUGUAAAGUCCAAGCCCAUGGGUCACGUCUCGAAACACGGGCCAAGGAGUAUAGCAUGUGUGCAAGUCUAAGGGUCUCACAAAACCCGAAGGCGAAGUGAAAGCAAGUUCGCGGCGGGUGAUCUACGGAGAUCCCGUCAGCUAGAGAGGCCUCUCGGUCUCUCCGGCUUUGGCUGAGUUGAUCCUGCAGCGCUACUAUGCGUACGCUCAGGCGCAAACUCCAGGCUCACGUUUCGCACUGGUCUUCGGACUGUGCUGUGAGCACUGUGGAGCAUGCAUGCUAUGACCCGAAAGAUAGUGAACUAUGCCUGGCGAGGGCGAAGCCCCAGGAAACUGGGGUGGAGGCCCGUAGCCGUUGUGACGUGCAAAUCCAUGGUAUCAGUUGGGCAUAGGGGCGAAAGACCAAUCGA
Molecule: ribosomal RNA, 1364 nt
Filed under: Sarothrogammarus yiiruae
Lineage: Eukaryota; Metazoa; Arthropoda; Malacostraca; Amphipoda; Gammaridae
Description: partial 28S ribosomal RNA
Rfam family: Eukaryotic large subunit ribosomal RNA
Source: RNAcentral